GGGGAAUAUUGGACAAUGGGGGAAACCCUGAUCCAGCGACGCCGCGUGAGUGAAGAAGUAUUUCGGUAUGUAAAGCUCUAUCAGCAGGGAAGAAAAUGACGGUACCUGACUAAGAAGCCCCGGCUAACUACGUGCCAGCAGCCGCGGUAAUACGUAGGGGGCAAGCGUUAUCCGGAUUUACUGGGUGUAAAGGGAGCGUAGACGGCACUGCAAGUCUGGAGUGAAAGCCCGGGGCUCAACCCCGGGACUGCUUUGGAAACUGUGGUGCUAGAGUGCAGGAGAGGUAAGUGGAAUUCCUAGUGUAGCGGUGAAAUGCGUAGAUAUUAGGAGGAACACCAGUGGCGAAGGCGGCUUACUGGACUGUAACUGACGUUGAGGCUCGAAAGCGUGGGGAGCAAAC
This 400-nucleotide ribosomal RNA is filed under the name uncultured bacterium. RNAcentral's name for it is "bacterial SSU rRNA". It matches the Rfam family "Bacterial small subunit ribosomal RNA", at positions 356 to 773 of the family's 1533-position model. The record is from RNAcentral.